CCUACGGGGGGCAGCAGUGGGGAAUAUUGCACAAUGGGCGCAAGCCUGAUGCAGCCAUGCCGCGUGUGUGAAGAAGGCCUUCGGGUUGUAAAGCACUUUCAGCGGGGAGGAAGGCGUUAAGGUUAAUAACCUUGGCGAUUGACGUUACCCGCAGAAGAAGCACCGGCUAACUCCGUGCCAGCAGCCGCGGUAAUACGGAGGGUGCAAGCGUUAAUCGGAAUUACUGGGCGUAAAGCGCACGCAGGCGGUCUGUCAAGUCGGAUGUGAAAUCCCCGGGCUCAACCUGGGAACUGCAUUCGAAACUGGCAGGCUAGAGUCGUGUAGAGGGGGGUAGAAUUCCAGGUGUAGCGGUGAAAUGCGUAGAGAUCUGGAGGAAUACCGGUGGCGAAGGCGGCCCCCUGGACAAAGACUGACGCUCAGGUGCGAAAGCGUGGGGAGCAAACAGGAUUAGAUACCCGAGUAGUC
Molecule: ribosomal RNA, 465 nt
Filed under: uncultured Klebsiella sp.
Lineage: Bacteria; Pseudomonadati; Pseudomonadota; Gammaproteobacteria; Enterobacterales; Enterobacteriaceae
Description: bacterial SSU rRNA
Rfam family: Bacterial small subunit ribosomal RNA
Source: RNAcentral